Long non-coding RNA from Helianthus annuus (common sunflower), 1334 nucleotides. RefSeq lists it as uncharacterized. The record is from RefSeq and is a predicted model, not a curated record. The transcript has 7 exons. Lineage: Eukaryota; Viridiplantae; Streptophyta; Magnoliopsida; Asterales; Asteraceae.
CAUGUAUUCACAACCAUCGAUCUUUUUCCCACGAUAUCCUCAAAACUGAACCUAUACAAUCUGUAGAAAUUGAUGAUUAUUUGAGGAAAUCGCAAACAUCAAUAAUUAGAAAUCCAAUAUAUUAUCAAUCCUUAUCAUAUUUUUGGGUGAUUCUGGAAAAACAAGAAUUGGUUUGUUGCAGGUUCGGGGAGUUUUGCGGUUUUAGGGGUUUUUAGCCAUCGCCUAGAUCAUCAAAAGUCACGAGAACUGCUACUUUGAUGUGCUAUGUACCCAACCUUAAGGCUACACCUACUUAAACAACCCAAUAUAAGACAGGUAUGGAGGGGUUUGGGUUGGAGGCAUUGCUCGACAUAUGGCGAGGGUGGGAUCCACAAGGGCUGAUGUCUGAAAGAUUUGGGCUACUAGCUGUAAUUGGAACAUAUGUGAAGGAAAAUAGUAUUAAGGUUCAGUUGGAAACUGGUAUAUAACUCACCAUUUAAAUUCAUUCUUAGUGUUGGAAAUAUAUAUUUUUAUGUUCUUUUGCAAUGGGUUAAUUUAACAAAUGUUUACUUUUUAUUUAUGUUCUGUUUGAGUUUUUCAAAUGUAGUAGUCUAAUGAUUUUCAAAUACCGUUGAUUAGUGGACUACAUGCUUUGAAAGCUAAAAUUUUCGAGUUUAAGAUUGUUGCUCAAAUGGAAAAGGUUAUUAAUGACGAUGAUUAAUAGGUUGGAAGGGAGUUAAUGAUCUAUUUUGUCAUUUAAGAAAGGACAAUGACAUCAUCCUAUUACCCUAGAGUCCCGGGUUUGAUUUUCCAUUUAAAUAAGUGGUUAUAAAGAAAAAGGCCUAUUAUCUUAAUUUAUAUAUUUUGACUUAAUUUUGGUUUUUGUAGAAGUCAUUGGAUGUUGGCAAUACUAAACAUUUAAACAACUACUUGCUAUUAUCAUGAUUCCUUAAGGCUUAGCAAUGACAAUCAGCAGUCGAGGCAAAUUAUUGAUAUGGAAAUGGUGCCACCAUAAGGGUUAAACUCAACUGGGUCAAGUCUAAGUGUCCAUGUUAGCCGGGAAGUACUGAAUGUGGCUAUUAUGUGAGGAAGUUCAUGAAGGAGAUAGCUUAUGAAGGAGUUGAAAUACUUGACAAUGACAAUUUGUUGUCUCAGGUUGUGGAAGGAGUAGAGGAAUACUCAAAUGCGGAUGACAUUCGCGAAGAUUGGUUGACUUCUGCGGUUACUUCUAUUUUUAAGUGACAACCGGAUUUUAGGCGUUGACGAAUGUAUCGACAAACAAUUCCUUUUUUGUUUACGUUAAAAUAUUUGUAGUAUAUUAGACAAAAGAUUAUGUAAUGAGUUGUUUUGGUAUA